CCUACGGGGUGCAGCAGUAGGGAAUCUUCCACAAUGGGCGAAAGCCUGAUGGAGCAACGCCGCGUGGGUGAAGAAGGUCUUCGGAUCGUAAAACCCUGUUGUUAGAGAAGAAAGUGCGUGAGAGUAACUGUUCACGUUUCGACGGUAUCUAAACAGAAAGCCACGGCGAACUACGUGCCAGCAGCCGCGGUAAUACGUAGGUGGCAAGCGUUAUCCGGAUUUAUUGGGCGUAAAGGGAACGCAGGCGGUCCUUUAAGUCUGAUGUGAAAGCCUUCGGCUUAACCGGAGUAGUGCAUUGGAAACUGGGAGACGUGAGUGCAGAAGAGGAGAGUGGAACUCCAUGUGUAGCGGUGAAAUGCGUAGAUAUAUGGAAGAACACCAGUGGCGAAAGCGGCUCUCUGGUCUGUAACUGACGCUGAGGUUCGAAAGCGUGGGUAGCAAACAGGAUUAGAUACCCCAGUAGUC
This 465-nucleotide ribosomal RNA is filed under the name uncultured bacterium. Its description in RNAcentral is "partial 16S ribosomal RNA". It matches the Rfam family "Bacterial small subunit ribosomal RNA", at positions 338 to 795 of the family's 1533-position model. The record is from RNAcentral.